UUCUAAUUAUAAAAAUUAAAUUAGAUUUAUAUAUAUGCGUUUAUAAAAUUCAAUAAUUUCCUGUUUACAUCAAUUAAAUGAGUUAAUUUUUAAAAAAAAAGAUUUCUCUAGGAUUAAAUCUAAUGCGAUUUUUAAUCCGGAUCUAAAAGAAUCUAAUUAUAAUUAAUUUUUAUGAAAUUAAGAAGUCAACGCUUCUAAAAGUGGGCUUUUUCUGUUAUUUUAUCGUAAUAGUGUCAAUGGUUUUAUAUACAGUUGGUUAGAAUAUUUAUCAAUUAAACGGUAGCAUCAAUAAUAUAAAAAGCUAAUGCAUCAUGGCGAUUGAUUGAUGGACCUGGCUGGCUAUCAAUGUGCAUCGCCAGUUAUAACAGUAAGUCUAAUAAACGAGCUUUCAUCCAAUUAAGUAAAUUUUCCUGAAUGUUAGUAAAGAAUUUGGUAAUAGUCUGAAAGAUUGGAUGGCAAUAGCCUACUUUCGAUUUAAUUAAAAUAACGAAUUUUUACCGAACUCUAAAUUAUAACCAUUAAAUUUUUUAACGCAUUGAAUUAAUUUAUUUUAUCGAAUCUAGAUCGAAAUUGGUUUACAAUCCACUUUACCUUAAUCACGGAAUUUUAUUGCAUUUAAGCAGUAGCCUUUAUAAAAGUUUUAUAAUUUAUUCCUUUCUUAUGGGGAUAAGUAUUGUUAUUUUACAUGUAACAAUACUUUAAGCCCACUUAAAAUUAAUUGUGAGGAGCUAACUGCUGCAUGAAUAAUGAAAGAGAACGAGGAUUUUAGCAUAUUCAUCUAGGGAGACUAUAACCAUCAAAAUUUCUACUGCAGAAUAGUCUAAGGUAAGUCUCAAAGUCGAAAAAUCAUUAAUUUGUAACAUAGAUAUAACCAAUUAAAUUAAUCUUCAUCUUUCAAUAUUAGAUUGAAGAUGGUUAUCGAUACAGAAUAAGUUUCAAGUUUAUAUUUAAAAGUGGAUCAACCUGCAAGAUCUAAUGAAUUUAUCACAAACCAUUCAAAAUAAAUACUUUGUUCGAAAUUUUUCACUUUAUUUAUUUAAAUAUGAUCAAUAACUAAUUUAUCUUCUAGCAUCACGAUAUAGUUUACUAUAUUGAUGAUCAGAACAACGAGGAAAGUUUAUAAUUAAUUCAUAAAUUUAAACAUUUAUAAAUUUAUUUCAAAUUAUAAAAACGCUGAUUUACUAUUGUAAAAAAAAAGAACAAAAGGAGCCAGAGAAACAAGAGAAAAAAAGAAGAGAGAGAGAGAAAAGAGUUAGCGUAAGGAAUAAAAGGACAGUUUGGGGAACAGAAAACCAUUUGCCUAGAAUAGCGUAUAAAUCUCGUUAGAUGGACCCGGAAGUCUGCGGACUAAAUCGAGUUUGGGAGAAGCGAGGGGAUGAUUGUUGCGAUUAGGGUCCAAGUUGUGGCUCAACACGUCAGCAGUAAUUAACGGUAAUUUGAACAUCCAGUGUCAGUGCCAAUCGGGACUUUAAUCUUUCUCCCAGUCACGGCUUCGAGCACAGAUUGGACGACGAAGAUUCUCCUUCCAAGUCGUUUCGAGAUCAAUAUAAAGCUUUUCCUUUUAUCUACUCUCAAUUCUGUGAUUCUGUUCAACGAAUUCCCGAUUGGUCCGACGGUUAAUUACAGAAUUGUCUGUUUGAUUAACGUUUAUGAAGUGGCUGAAGAAUUUUGGCUCUUGUUUACUCAUUUUUCUAUCAACUGUUUCGUUUUAAUAAGAGAAAAUUGUUUCCAGCAAUAAAAAUAUGCGUUUUCAAAUAAUUACGAACAAAAAAGAAACGUCAGUCAGUCGAGUUAUUAGAUCCAAGUUGGAAGAAACAGAAGUAAACCUUAUAAAGUUUAAUGGAAUUUCUUUUAAUCUUCAUUAUCAUUUAAUAGACGGAAGAAAAGAGGUAUUCGGAGUUCGUUAGAUAGAAAUUAGAUCCUGUGGAGGAGAAUCUUGUUUGUUAAAAGCUUUGAUGAUUUGAAACAAAAUGAUUUUCCUCAUGUUUAACAAUUUAUUUUGCCUAAAUUGCAAUACUUGAUCACCUCAUUAUAUCCGAGAUUUUUCAAAUUUUUUAAUUGAGUCGAAUUGCGAGCGAACUUAAAUAAUUUUUUUUAUCUAAACGAUCUCGACAAAUUAAUAAUCUUUCGACAGGACAACGGCGAAGACGACAAGCAAACGUAUCGUUUUAACGAUUUCCAAUUGAUCAUGGCCAUGGCUAAUUUGCAGUUCGAAUCACGGACGUUAGGUGUCGCUGUCCGUCAUACCCUAGAUUAGCUUUGUCGCUGACUAACGAUCCUAACUUCCCAUGUCUACGUGAGGUGGCGCUGUCCGUCCCUAAUUUGUAGCUGGAGUCCCUCAUUAGUCGGUUCCGAAGGCGGGUAAGGCGAAUGGCACACGCCACCCCGGCACGUUUCCACGACCUACAAGACUUUAACAAAACUAAUCGGGCACCGACUGGUCCCUUUUCACGUCCACGACGCACGUCCAAAAUUUGCACGGCUUCGUUAAUGCAACAGCCAUGUUAAAACGUGUCGGAUCGUGCCACAAUGACCAUUGGUUCGUUAGGCAAUUCGCCAGAAGUGUCAAGCUCUAUUGUCAACAUGCCACUUUCGAAAAAGGAAAAUGUUACUUAAAUUUUUACACUUUAAUUAUCUUACUUGUAAGUUUAUCAUUAUCUAAUGUCUGUUGCAGUACCAAAAACAAUACUAAAGAAAUUUUGUUCUGAGUCUACAACAAUACGAAUGUAACUUGUAGAAAAUGUCUACUAAUAUAAGGAUAUAUAAUAGCAAAAUGACGAUUUUGUAUAUCUAAAUGUGCUGAUUAUUAAAUGGAAAUAUUUUAAUAAUGCCACAAUCAAAAUAAAAA
This 2848-nucleotide long non-coding RNA is filed under the name Androctonus crassicauda. Lineage: Eukaryota; Metazoa; Arthropoda; Arachnida; Scorpiones; Buthidae. The record is from RNAcentral.